This 263-nucleotide signal recognition particle RNA is filed under the name Chloroflexota bacterium. RNAcentral's name for it is "Chloroflexi bacterium (anaerobic digester metagenome) signal recognition particle sRNA large type". It matches the Rfam family "Bacterial large signal recognition particle RNA". From Rfam's summary of the family: The signal recognition particle (SRP) is a universally conserved ribonucleoprotein involved in the co-translational targeting of proteins to membranes. Lineage: Bacteria; Bacillati; Chloroflexota. The record is from RNAcentral. RNAcentral also lists the same sequence under 1 other name.
UCGUGCUAGAUGGGGAGCUAGCGGUGCCCUGCACCCGCAAUCCGCUAUAGCGGGGUCGAACUCCCUGCCUAGGAGCGUGCGCGCUGGCCAAUGUCCUGCCAGGCAGCGUUGAUGAUUGGGUCCUGCGCGGCAGAGGCCUGCGAACCCCGUCAGGUCCGGAAGGAAGCAGCGGUAAGAAGUGUCCUCUGGGUGACGCGGGGCUACCUGGUCUGAGCCCGCCAGCAGAACUAGAUCAGUGUGCCGUUACAACGCAGGGUGCACGG